UGAACGCUGGCGGCGUGCCUAAUACAUGCAAGUCGAGCGAACAGAUGAGGAGCUUGCUCCUCUGACGUUAGCGGCGGACGGGUGAGUAACACGUGGAUAACCUACCUAUAAGACUGGGAUAACUUCGGGAAACCGGAGCUAAUACCGGAUAAUAUAUUGAACCGCAUGGUUCAAUAGUGAAAGACGGUUUUGCUGUCACUUAUAGAUGGAUCCGCGCCGCAUUAGCUAGUUGGUAAGGUAACGGAUUACCAAGGCAACGAUGCGUAGCCGACCUGAGAGGGUGAUCGGCCACACUGGAACUGAGACACGGUCCAGACUCCUACGGGAGGCAGCAGUAGGGAAUCUUCCGCAAUGGGCGAAAGCCUGACGGAGCAACGCCGCGUGAGUGAUGAAGGUCUUCGGAUCGUAAAACUCUGUUAUUAGGGAAGAACAAAUGUGUAAGUAACUAUGCACGUCUUGACGGUACCUAAUCAGAAAGCCACGGCUAACUACGUG
Molecule: ribosomal RNA, 495 nt
Filed under: uncultured bacterium
Lineage: Bacteria
Description: partial 16S ribosomal RNA
Rfam family: Bacterial small subunit ribosomal RNA
Source: RNAcentral